RNAcentral lists this ribosomal RNA (305 nucleotides) under uncultured bacterium. Its description in RNAcentral is "bacterial SSU rRNA". It matches the Rfam family "Bacterial small subunit ribosomal RNA", at positions 333 to 653 of the family's 1533-position model. The record is from RNAcentral.
UGAGGCCUACGGGACGCAGCAGUGGGGAAUAUUGCACAAUGGGCGAAAGCCUGAUGCAGCAACGCCGCGUGAAGGAAGAAGGCCUUCGGGUCGUAAACUUCUGUCCUUGGGGAAGAAGAACUGACGGUACCCAAGGAGGAAGCCCCGGCUAACUACGUGCCAGCAGCCGCGGUAAUACGUAGGGGGCAAGCGUUAUCCGGAUUUACUGGGUGUAAAGGGAGCGUAGACGGCCGUGCAAGUCUGAUGUGAAAACCCGGGGCUCAACCCCGGGACUGCAUCGGAAACUGCAUGGCUGGAGUGUCGGG